AAACUCACCAGGUCAGGACACGGUAAGGAUUGACGGACUGAAGGCUCUUUCUCGAUUCCGUGGAAAGUGGUGCAUGGCCGUUUUUGGUUGGUGUAUCGAUCCGUCUGGUUAAUUCCGUUAACGAACGAGACCUCGGCACUCCGAAUAGCGCGGCGGACGUCGCGGCCUCCGGGCCGUCUUCCGCACGAGCUUCUUAGAGGGACCGUCCCCCGCCGGGGAAGGAGGUGCGAGGCAACGACAGGUCUGUGAUGCCCUUAGAUGUUCUGGGCCGCACGCGCAUUACACUGACGCGUCCAACGGGUGACUCCCGACCCGAAGGGGCCGGGGAAUCCGCAAGGCGCGUCGUGAUGGGGAUUGAACGUUGCAAUUGUUGUUCACGAACGAGGAAUUCCUAGUAGGCGCGGGUCAUCAACCCGCGCCGAUUACGUCCCUGCCCUUUGUACAC
Molecule: ribosomal RNA, 445 nt
Filed under: uncultured eukaryote
Lineage: Eukaryota
Description: bacterial SSU rRNA
Rfam family: Eukaryotic small subunit ribosomal RNA
Source: RNAcentral